CUGCCAGUAGUCAUAUGCUUGUCUCAAAGAUUAAGCCAUGCAUGUCUCAGUACAAGCCAAAUUAAGGUGAAACCGCGAAAGGCUCAUUAAAUCAGUUAUGGUUCCUUAGAUCGUACCCACAAUUACUUGGAUAACUGUGGUAAUUCUAGAGCUAAUACAUGCAAACAGAGCUCCGACCGGAGACGGAAGGAGUGCUUUUAUUAGAUCAAAACCAAUCGGUGGCGGGUUCGCUCGUCAUCGUACAACUUGGUGACUCUGAAUAACUUUACGCUGAUCGCACGGUCUCGCACCGGCGACGCAUCUUUCAAAUGUCUGCCUUAUCAACUGUCGAUGGUAGGUUCUGCGCCUACCAUGGUUGUAACGGGUAACGGGGAAUCAGGGUUCGAUUCCGGAGAGGGAGCCUGAGAAACGGCUACCACAUCCAAGGAAGGCAGCAGGCGCGCAAAUUACCCACUCCCGGCACGGGGUGGUAGGGACAAAAAAUAACGAUACGGGACUCAUCCGAGGCCCCGUAAUCGGAAUGAGCUACACUCUAAACCCUUUAACGAGGAUCAAUUGGAGGGCAAGUCUGGUGCCAGCAGCCGCGGUAAUUCCAGCUCCAAUAGCGUAUAUUAAAGU
RNAcentral lists this ribosomal RNA (618 nucleotides) under Celebia sp. 4 MVD-2017. RNAcentral's name for it is "SSU rRNA". It matches the Rfam family "Eukaryotic small subunit ribosomal RNA", at positions 14 to 610 of the family's 1831-position model. Lineage: Eukaryota; Metazoa; Arthropoda; Insecta; Coleoptera; Curculionidae. The record is from RNAcentral.